This 433-nucleotide ribosomal RNA is filed under the name uncultured bacterium. RNAcentral describes it as "partial 16S ribosomal RNA". It matches the Rfam family "Bacterial small subunit ribosomal RNA", at positions 29 to 507 of the family's 1533-position model. The record is from RNAcentral.
AACGAACGCUGGCGGCAUGCCUAACACAUGCAAGUCGAACGAAGGCUUCGGCCUUUGUGGCGCACGGGUGCGUCACGCGAGGGAAUCUGCACUUUGGUUCGGCAUAACUGUUGGAAUCGGCCGCUAAUACCGGAUGAUGGCGAAAGUCCAAAGAUUUAUCGCAAGAGGAUGAGCCCGCGUUGGAUUAGGUGGUUGGUGGGGUAAAGGACUACUAAGCCGACGAUGCAUAGCUGGUCAGAGAGGAUGGUCAGCCACACUGGGAGGAGGACACGGCCCGGACUCCUACGCGAGGCAGGAGAGGGGAAUAGUGGACAAUGGGCUCAGGGCUGAUCCAGCUAGGCCGGGUGAGCGAUGUAGGCCGUAGGGAUGUAAAGCGCUAUUACCCGUGAAGAUAAUGACGGUACCGGGUGAAUAAGCCCCGGCUAACUACGUG